This 468-nucleotide ribosomal RNA is filed under the name uncultured bacterium. Its description in RNAcentral is "partial 16S ribosomal RNA". It matches the Rfam family "Bacterial small subunit ribosomal RNA", at positions 28 to 507 of the family's 1533-position model. The record is from RNAcentral.
GACGAACGCUGGCGGCGUGCUUAACACAUGCAAGUCGAACGGAAAGGCCCUGCUUUUGUGGGGUGCUCGAGUGGCGAACGGGUGAGUAACACGUGAGUAACCUGCCCUUGACUUUGGGAUAACUUCAGGAAACUGGGGCUAAUACCGGAUAGGAGCUCCUGCUGCAUGGUGGGGGUUGGAAAGUUUCGGCGGUUGGGGAUGGACUCGCGGCUUAUCAGCUUGUUGGUGGGGUAGUGGCUUACCAAGGCUUUGACGGGUAGCCGGCCUGAGAGGGUGACCGGCCACAUUGGGACUGAGAUACGGCCCAGACUCCUACGGGAGGCAGCAGUGGGGAAUAUUGCACAGUGGGCGGAAGCCAUAUGCAGCAACGCCGCGUGCGGGAUGACGGCCUUCGGGUUGUAAACCGCUUUCGCCUGUGACGAAGCGUGAGUGACGGUAAUGGGUAAAGAAGCACCGGCUAACUACGUG